RNAcentral lists this long non-coding RNA (1150 nucleotides) under Homo sapiens (human). Its description in RNAcentral is "HSALNT0325769". Lineage: Eukaryota; Metazoa; Chordata; Mammalia; Primates; Hominidae. The record is from RNAcentral.
GCUUUGACAACCCCCUCGGGUCCCCUUCCACAGUGUGGAAGCUUUGUUAUUUCGCUCUUUGCAAUAAAUCUUGCUACUGCUCACUCUUUGGGUCCACGCUACUUUUAUGAGCUGUAACACCCACCGUGAAGAUCUGCAGCUUCACUCCUGAGCCCAACGAGCCCACGAGCCCACUGGGAGGAACCAACAACUCCAGACGUGCUGCCUUAAGAGCUGUAACACUCACCGUGAAGGUCUGCAGCUUCACCCCUGAGCCAGUGAGACCACGAACCCACCAGAAGGAAGAAACUCCAAACACAUCUGAACAUCAGAAGGGACAGACUCCAGACGCGCCACUUUAAGAGCUGUAACACUCACCGCGAGGGUCCGCGGCUUCAUUCUUGAAGUCAGUGAGACCAAGAACCCACCCAUUCCGGACACACCAUCAUCAUGUAAGGCACUAACAACAGGAGAAGCUGGGUGAAAGAAUCUAUGUCACAGUGAUUGAUUUACUGCAUAUGAGCAGAAUGAACCUGGACCUGGCCAGUAUCAUUAAGCUGUGUUUCCCCUGAAGUUAUGUGAAAAGCAUUUGUGGAUUUAACAGAGUUAAGGGUCUCACUUCAUCACCUAGACUGGAGUACAGUAGCACAGUUGCAGCUUCCUACAUCUUGACUUCCUGGGUUCCAGUGAUCCUCCCCCUUCAGCCUCUCAGCAGAGAGAGAAAGAAAGCAGAGCUCUUUGAAGCAGAGAAAGAAAGCAGAAAGCAGAGAUCUUUGAAGGCUUAAGAAACCAUAAGCUGCAGGAAUUAUGAGUGGGAAGAACAGGUGUUCCGAGAGAUUCUACGGUUCUUCAGUUGCUAAGGAAACCACUUUCAUCAGUUCAGAAAGGCUGAUAACCUGGACUUUUUCUGCCAAAUUACUAUCAACAAAGGAGUUUUGGAGAGUCAAUGCAUGAUGAUCUCUGAAGAUUCUACUGAAAUCUAAUCAAUAUGUCCUCACUGCCAUCAAUUCAAAAGAACUUGCUAAGAAGGCUCUAGAGGCUUGUACUCUCAGAUAGUGAAAGUGAGAUGAUGUGUAGUGAAAGUCAUAUAUAGGUUGUAAAUUGCAAUAUGGAAUUCCCAAAUGCUGAAUUCAUUUUAUCUCUUCGGAAAUAAAAACCUGUUAAAGACUCA